Molecule: unclassified non-coding RNA, 295 nt
Filed under: fungal sp.
Lineage: Eukaryota; Fungi
Description: partial internal transcribed spacer region
Rfam family: Eukaryotic small subunit ribosomal RNA (bases 1-46)
Source: RNAcentral
AAGUCGUAACAAGGUUUCCGUAGGUGAACCUGCGGAAGGAUCAUUAAUGAAAUGAUAAUUUUUUGGGGUUUUCCCUAAAAAAUAAUUCACCAUUUGUGCAUUGUUAUUAGAUAUACUUUGGUUAGAGCUUUGAUUUCAUUUAUUGGAAUCAACUUCUUGCUGACUCUAUCCUUUUUAAAGGACAGUUGGCUAUGAAGCGGCCUACCAAGGUUUUUUUUAUCAAACUCUUGUAUUUUGUCUGACCUAAACUAUUAUAAUUAAAUCAUAACUUUCAACAACGGAUCUCUUGGCUCUC